Molecule: ribosomal RNA, 253 nt
Filed under: uncultured bacterium
Lineage: Bacteria
Description: partial 16S ribosomal RNA
Rfam family: Bacterial small subunit ribosomal RNA
Source: RNAcentral
GACGAAGGAUGCAAGCGUUAUCCGGAUUCAUUGGGUUUAAAGGGAGCGUAGGCGGUCUAAUAAGUCAGUGGUGAAAUCUCUCGGCUUAACUGAGAAAUGGCCAUUGAUACUGUUGGACUUGAGUACAGAUGCCGUUGGCGGAAUAUGACAUGUAGUGGUGAAAUACAUAGAGAUGUCAUAGAACACCGAUUGCGAAGGCAGCUGACGAAACUGUAACUGACGCUGAGGCUCGAAAGUGUGGGGAUCAAACAGG